CGUAGGGGGCAAGCGUUGUCCGGAUUUAUUGGGCGUAAAGCGCGCGUAGGCGGCGCGGUAUGUCGUGCGUGAAAUCUCCCGGCUUAACUGGGGGGGGCCGUGCGAAACUGCCGGGCUUGAGGUCAGAAGGGGAAAGUGGAAUUCCGGGUGUAGUGGUGGAAUACGUAGAUAUCCGGAGGAACACCAGCGGCGAAGGCGGCUUUCUGGUCUGAUACUGACGCUGAGGCGCGAAAGCGUGGGGAGCGAUCCGGAUUAGAUACCCGGGUAGUCCACGCCGUAAACGAUGAGUACUAGGUGUCGGGGGUAUCGACCCCCUCGGUGCCGUCGCUAACGCAUUAAGUACUCCGCCUGGGGACUACGGCCGCAAGGCUA
RNAcentral lists this ribosomal RNA (372 nucleotides) under uncultured organism. RNAcentral's name for it is "bacterial SSU rRNA". It matches the Rfam family "Bacterial small subunit ribosomal RNA", at positions 526 to 896 of the family's 1533-position model. The record is from RNAcentral.